Molecule: RNA transcript, 1591 nt
Organism: Wyeomyia smithii (pitcher-plant mosquito)
Lineage: Eukaryota; Metazoa; Arthropoda; Insecta; Diptera; Culicidae
Gene name: low molecular weight phosphotyrosine protein phosphatase 1-like
Exons: 4
Source: RefSeq, a predicted model, not a curated record
GCAUUACUCACAUCGCAAAAGCAAACACGGGCUGCAAAACAAUUUUUCGUUUGUACCGAUUGCCACAGUUUCCACUCACAGCGACAGCGAACAGCUGUCUGUACUCGUGCGGUGCCGCCACCUCCGAAAUGAAGGUCCUUUUUGUGUGCAUUGGAAACUCGUGCCGUUCGCCGAUGGCAGAAGCCGUUCUGAAGGAUAUGGUAGCCAGAGAAGGUCUCGACUGGGUUGUCGAUAGUGCGGCGAUUGCAGAUUGGAAUGUUGGUUAUUCCCCGGAGGAUCGCUGCUUAGCGGUGUUACGAGAGAAUGGAUUGGAUUCGUGUCACGUUGGGAGACAGAUUCGAACGGAGGAUUUCGACCAGUUUGAUUACAUAUUCGGAAUGGAUGAGGGUAAUGUGCGUGAUUUGAAAGAGCUGGCGCCUGCUCAAAGCCGAGCUCGCAUCGAGUUGCUGGGGAAUUACAGAAUGAAGGAGCUGGAUAAGAUUAUUUUCGAUCCGUAUUUCGAACGUGGAGUGCACGGUUUUAGAAGGUGCUACACUCAGAUUGCGAUAUGCUGUAAAAUUUUCAUUCAGCAGAAGCGGCCGAGUGCUUAAACGACAUACAGUUGGGAACUGUGAGUCUUCCGGAAGAUAAAUCGUCCACAAAAAGAUCCCAUCUAGUUUGCAGUAUUUCCGAAAAUCGUUGCCGUUCUUUUGCUGUUAGAGAACUAUACCUACGAAAAAAAAUCCGAUUCCCGCUGAAGUAGGAGCCAUCGCCAUGAAGGCAUAAUAAUAAUCAAAUGAAACAGCUUUGCUGUCCCAAAACCCGGGAUCGUCGGAUGCAAUGACGAUGGGAAUGCUUUCCGACACGAAGAACACUGCAGGAUGGUUGCGUAGAUCGGUCACCAAUCGUAGUACUUGAUUCGAAAGUGGGCACACUUCCAAAGCGAUUCCUUUACUUUUAACUGCCUUCCAUAGGACUGGAUGUUUAUACAACGAAUAACCAUGUCCGAUGCGACGGCUGUUGAGCAGAACCGCGUCGAUCAAGUUAAGAUCAGCAUUGCUUCCGUAUCCAUCUGGAAUUGUAACAACGUGUGUAGUAAAUUGUGUUCAAAAUAAACUACCAAAAAUAACGGAACUGGUUUCUCCAGCAUGGAAGAAAUACGGAGUGGUGGCUUCAAACUUGCGCAAUUCAUCCAGAAAAAUGGUCAAGGGCUGAUUAAUGUCUUCCUGUCCCACCAGAUCGAAACCAAUAACCAGGUUUGGCAACUCCGCGCUGUGAAGUAUCGGUCAGCAAAUUAAAUCAUCGAACACUUGACAUUACCUAGCUUACUUACUUCAAUUUAACAAACGAAUUCAGUAGAUCCUGUGCUGUGCCUGUGUCUAUUCCUCGAUGCUUCGAAAAUAUUACCUUCACACCAAUAAAAUCCGGAUUGGCCGAGCAAAACGUAUCCACCAGCUGCUGUACAAUUUUAGCAACCUCCAUCUCACCGUAGACCCGAUUGCUGGCGUCAUAAAUUUUCGACAGCGACAUUCGCAGCUCGAUAUAGAACACAUUAUCCUCGUAGAACUCUUCCAGCAGCCGCGUAUGGAACGCUUCGAAAAUCGGUUUGUAC